ACACUUCCGGUGGGGCGGCGGCCUGGCGGCCGUCUUGGUGGUGGCAAGAGGCCUGACCCCGGGACCAGAGAGACAGACUUUCCUGAAGCUGGAGGUUCGCGGCGCCGAUGCAAAACGGCGUCAGGGGCGAGAAAACUGUGGCAUCGCUUUUGCGUUGUAACUGUCACGAUGACGCAGAGCUGGGUAUGAAGAAAGAACCCGACCAAGCAAAUCCGAGGCACGCUGAACUGCCACUGCCGGGGUCAGAACUGCACACCUACACCACAGCUCACGGCAAUGCUGGAUCCUUAACCCACUGAGCAAGAGCCGGGAUCGAACCCGCAACCUCAUGGUUCCUAGUCGGAUUCGUUAACCACUGCGCCACGACGGGAACUCCCUCCCAUCAUGUUCUGGCAUCUUAAAGAGACUUUCUGCGAGUUCCCACUGUGGCACAGGGGUUUAAGGACAUGACAUUGCCACAGCUGUGGCUUAGGUUGCAGCUGCAGCUUGGAUGCAAUCCCUGAUCCAGGAAAUUUCCACAUGCUGAAGUUUAAAAAAACAAACGAAGGACAACAACAAAACGUUUCUGGGCAGAAGCCAGCAGUAGGUUCUCAGCUCCUGAUCAGGAAUCCAGAGUGAGGCCGCGCCUUGGCCUGCCCUCCAGGACAGCCCUGCCGGCCGGGCCGGGCCCUCCCCGCCCUGAGAUCUGCGUUUUCCUCUCAUCGCCUGGGUCCUCUCCUGUCUCCACCUCUUCUCUGACACCGGCCUCGAAAUCCUGCUGCAAGGCCAGGCCUCGAGCCCUUCCCCCGCAGCAGUGCCAGGCUGCCUUUCAGAGCUCAAGCACAGCCUGGCGCUAUCUGGCAUCCCUGGGGAUUCAAGGCCUUUAUCACCAUCCCGAAAUAAACCUAAAGCACAAAACCACAGCCUCUAGAGUUUCAGCUUUUCCUCCCGGACCCUCGAGCUGUGACUUGCUGCAGGACCGUGACAAAGGCAGCUUUCAGGAGCCUCUGAGUCAUGGCUGCAGGGGGCCGGCUGCUCACAGUGUUGAGUGUGCACGGAUCCCCUGGGAGAAGCCGACCUGCUUUUCAACCUGAAGUGGAAUCAGGUGCGGGCAGAGCGCCUGUGCGGCCCCUCACAGCAGGUGGAGCAGCUCUGCCCGAGUCCAGGGGAGGCGACAGAGCCUUCGUCUCCAGUCGUCUUUGAUCUUAAACCCAGUCGCUCCCAUGCCUGGCUCACUCUGACCUUUGUCUCCAAACUUGCCGCAUGUCCCCAGUGAGCCACCUCAGACCCUGGAGCUCCGCGCCCAUCCUGGAACCAGGUCCCUGUGUCCACAGCACACCCGACAUCCAGCCCCAGCGCACUUUUCUGGCCCACGGGAGUCAAAACUUAGGAUCCUCCAGGGUUCUCUGGUGGUCUAGUGGUUAGGACUUGGCGCUUUCACUGCGGCAGCCUGAGUUCAGUCCCUGGUUGAGAACUGAUGAGUCCCACAUCAAGCCACUGCACACUGUGGCCAAUAAAAAUGAAAAAAAAAA
Molecule: long non-coding RNA, 1511 nt
Filed under: Sus scrofa (pig)
Lineage: Eukaryota; Metazoa; Chordata; Mammalia; Artiodactyla; Suidae
Description: lncRNA (ENSSSCG00030074675.1, ENSSSCG00040075092.1, ENSSSCG00050025950.1, ENSSSCG00060048653.1)
Source: RNAcentral